GAAAGUAAGUAAGGGCGUAUGGGGGAUGCCUAGGCUCUUGGAGGCUAAGAAGGACGUGGUAAGCUGCGAAAAGCUGCGGGGAUUUGCAAACGAGACUCGAUCCGCAGAUAUCCGAAUGGGACAACCCGGCAGGUAGAAGACCUGUCACACCGCGAGGUGAGCUAACCCUCUGAACUGAAACAUCUAAGUAGGAGGAGGAAAAGAAAGAAACAUCGAUUUCCAAAGUAGCGGCGAGCGAAAUGGAAGAAGCCCAAACCGAUAUUGUUACGGCAAUAUCGGGGUUGUAGGACUGCAAUAUUCAAUUAACAAUGAACUGGAAUGGUCUGGAAAGUCCAUCCAUAGAGAGUGAAAGGCUCGUACAGGUAAGUUUGUUAUGCGAAAGCAGUAUCCUGAGUAUGGCGGGACACGAGGAAUCCUGUCAGAAUCAGCCGGGACCACCCGGUAAGGCUAAAUACUCCCAAGAGACCGAUAGUGGACCAGUACUGUGAAGGAAAGGUGAAAAGAACCCCGAACAGGGGAGUGAAAUAGAACCUGAAACCAUACGCUUACAACCGGUCGGAGCAGCUUCGUGCUGUGACGGCGUGCCUAUUGAAUAAUGAGCCUACGAGUUACUAAUCACUAGCGAGGUUAAGUGCAAGGAUGCACGGAGCCGAAGCGAAAGCGAGUCUGAACAGGGCGUUUAGUUAGUGGUUGUAGACGCGAAACCUUGCGAUCUACCCUUGAGCAGGUUGAAGGUUGGGUAAAACCAACUGGAGGACCGAACGAAUAAGCGUUGAAAAGCUUCUCGAUGACUUGAGGGUAGGGGUGAAAGGCUAAUCAAGCUGGGAAAUAGCUCGUACUCCCCGAAAUGCCUUUUGGGGCAGCGUUGUAAUAAAGAGUCUACUGGAGGUAGAGCUACUGAUUGGAUGCGGGGGCUUCACCGCCUACCAAAUCCUGACAAACUCCGAAUGCCAGUAGUAUGAUUUACAGCAGUGAGUGACUGGGUGCUAAUGUCCAGUCGCAAAAGAGGAACAACUCAGACCAGCAACUAAGGUCCCGAAGAAUAUGCUAAGUUGAUCUAACGAUGUUUUGUUGCAGAGACAGCUAGGAUGUUAGCUUGGAAGCAGCUAUUCAUUCAAAGAGUGCGUAACAGCUCACUAGUCGAGCGACAGAGCGUGGAUAAUAAACGGGCAUCAAGCAUAUCACCGAAGUUCUGGGCGCGAGAGCGCGGUAGGGGAGCAUUCCAUUCAGCGUCGAAGCAGUUUCGUGAGGAAUUGUGGAGCGUAUGGAAAAGCAAAUGUAGGCAUGAGUAACGAUAAUGCGGGAGAGUAACCCGCACACCGCAAGACCAAGGUUUCCUGAUCAACGCUAAUCGGAUCAGGGUUAGUCGGGUCCUAAGGGUAAGCCGAACGGCGAUCUCGAUGGAUAAUCGGUUAAUAUUCCGAUACUAACAUAUACCUCGAUGGAGAGACGAAGGAACGUAAGUGCCGCCACCUGACGGAAUAGGUGGUUAAAGGGCGUAGAUAUAGGGGCAGAUUAAGAGUUAGUCCUUGCUGAAACCUGACAGUACAGAGAGCCUACGGGCAAUUUGAUAGAGCACCCAAGUCGACUUCCGAGAAAAUCUUCUAAGUUAUAGUAUAUGUUACCCGUACCGUAAACCGACACAGGUGGUCGAGGAGAGUAUCCUAAGGUGCUCGAGUGAAUCACGGUUAAGGAACUAGGCAAAUUAACCCCGUAACUUCGGGAAAAGGGGUCCCUAUGAAAGUAGGGCGCAGCGAAGAGGUCCAGGCGACUGUUUAUCAAAAACACAGGGCUCUGCAAAUUCGAAAGAAGACGUAUAGGGCCUGACACCUGCCCGGUGCUGGAAGGUUAAGAGGGGAUGUCAUCGCAAGAGAAGCAUUGAAUCGAAGCCCCAGUAAACGGCGGCCGUAACUAUAACGGUCCUAAGGUAGCGAAAUUCCUUGUCGGGUAAGUUCC
Molecule: ribosomal RNA, 1956 nt
Filed under: human gut metagenome
Description: bacterial LSU rRNA
Rfam family: Bacterial large subunit ribosomal RNA
Source: RNAcentral